This 368-nucleotide ribosomal RNA is filed under the name uncultured Glomeromycotina. Its description in RNAcentral is "LSU rRNA". The record is from RNAcentral. Lineage: Eukaryota; Fungi; Glomeromycota.
UUGAAAGGGAAACGAUUGAAGUCAGUCAUGCUAGUGAAAAAUCAGUUUGACGGGUUUUGAGUUCUUGAGUAGAGGCAGGGUCAAACCGUUUCUCUUUUGGACUUGAGAUUUGUUAGAUGUACUUUUUCUUUGGCAGGCCAACGUCGGUUUCGGGGGUUGUAAAAUACUUGGGGGAAAGUAGCUCUGCUUCGGGAGAGUGUUAUAGACCCUGAGAGAUGCAGCCUGUGGGAUCGAGGAUUGCAGCAAAUGCCUUUUGGCUUGUCGCCUGUUCCUAGGUGUUCCCUGUCUUGUGACAACAUUCUGACGUCGUUGGAGUACUAAUGCCUACUGUUUAGAGCGGCGGAAAAUUCGUUAAGGAUGUUGACGUA